ACAACGGAGAGUUUGAUCCUGGCUCAGGAUUAACGCUAGCGGCAGGCCUAAUACAUGCAAGUCGAACGGUAACAGGUGAUAGCAAUAUCAUGCUGACGAGUGGCGCACGGGUGCGUAACACGUAUGCAACUUACCCUUUACUGGGGCAUAACCUUGAGAAAUCGGGGCUAAUACUCCAUGUGAUUAUGAAUAGGCAUCUACUUAUAAUUAAAGUUACGAUGGUAAAGGAUGGGCAUGCGUCCCAUUAGCUAGUUGGAGAGGUAACGGCUCCCCAAGGCGAUGAUGGGUAGGGGUCCUGAGAGGGACAUCCCCCACA
Molecule: ribosomal RNA, 316 nt
Filed under: Bacteroidota bacterium
Lineage: Bacteria; Pseudomonadati; Bacteroidota
Description: bacterial SSU rRNA
Rfam family: Bacterial small subunit ribosomal RNA
Source: RNAcentral